AGAGUCAAAAAAUAAAUUAUUAGCUUAAGUUCUUGGAAAAGGGCACCAUAGAGGGUGAUAGUCCCGUCUGCGAAAAUAAUUUAUCUCUUUUAU
RNAcentral lists this ribosomal RNA (93 nucleotides) under Candidatus Nomurabacteria bacterium. RNAcentral's name for it is "partial 23S ribosomal RNA". Lineage: Bacteria; Candidatus Nomuraibacteriota. The record is from RNAcentral.